CCCAACUCUCAGCGGCGUACUCUUCCCAACGAGGAUCUUGACCUGACGCCGUGUCUUGGUGGGAAAAACAGAUUCGUUACGUCGCCGCGACGCUGUUCCUAACACUCGCGCACGUCGGAUAGAUUUACGCGCGUUUUCAUACUCGAGGAAAAGUGGACCGGAGUCGGGUUCCGGCGAGAUCGUACACACGUCGGAGCAAGGACACGGGUUUAAAAAGAAAGUGGGUGUGACAGAUCGAAACAGAAGGAUGGAAGAGGAUGGAAAGAAGUAGAGAUAGAGAGAUGGAAGAAGGUAGGAAGAACUGACGGGAAGAGAGAAGGAACGAUGGAUAAAAAGAAAGGAAGAAGGGCAGAUGUACAAAAUGAAGAACGGAAGGAUGAGGAAAAGGAGGACUGGAAUACGGAGGCAGGACGGACGAAGUGGGGGGUGGGGGUGGGUGGGGGGGGACGGAUGGAAGGAAGGACACAAAAGGAAGAGUGGGAAAAGAAAGAAAACGAUGGAAGGAGCGCCAGGAAGAAGGGAGAUCAAAAGCGUGAAUGAGUGGAAUGGAGCGAGGGGAAUAAAGAAGGAAGGAAGGAAGAAAAAGGAAAUAAGGAAGGAAGGAGGGAAGGAAAGAAGGCGAGAAGGAAGGAAGGAAGGAAGGAAGGAAAGAAGGAAAGAAGGAAAGAAGGCGAGAGGUAAGGAAGGAAGGAAGGAAGGAAGGAAGAAAAAGGAAAUAAGGAAGGAAGGAAAGAAGGCGAGAAGGAAGGAAGGAAGGAAGGAAGGAAGGAAAGAAGGAAGGAAGGAAAGAAGGAAAGAAGGAAAGAAGGAAGGAAAGAAGGAAGGAAAGAAGGAAGGAAGGAAAGAAGGAAGGAAAGAAGGAAGGAAGGAAGGAAGGAAAGAAGGAAGGAAGGAAGGAAAGAAGGAAGGAAGGAAAGAAGGAAGGAAAGAAGGAAGGAAAGAAGGCGAGAAGGAAGGAAGGAAGGGCAUACAGACCGAAUGAUAGAAUGAAAGAUAUAAGGAAGGACGGAUUGAAGAAAGCAGCAGAAGGAAGAAUUGAAUGGAUGAAAGGAAUGGCAGAAGGAAGGAGGAAGAGUGAGAAGAAUGCAGGAAGAAGAACUGAGAGUAAAGAAGAAAUGAAAAGACGGAUAGGAAAGCGAAUGUUAGUAAAAAGAAAGAACUGAACAAUUCUGCCACGGUUACAGCUGUAUCUCUCCUUCCUGUUUUCUUUCCUUUCUCUCGCCUCGUCUUUCUCUAUUGUUCUCUGUUUAUCCUGUCUUCUUUCUCUCCUCUUUUCCUGCAUUCUCAUAUCCAUGUCUUUUCUUCAUCCUUCAGUCUGUUAUAUGAAAACUCUCUCUCUCUCUCUGUGUGUGUGUGUGUGUGUGUGUGUGUGUGUGUGUGUGUGUGUGUGUGUGAAAUGUAAACUUUGAAUAAGAGCCGAAAUACUAACU
Molecule: long non-coding RNA, 1430 nt
Organism: Ictalurus punctatus (channel catfish)
Lineage: Eukaryota; Metazoa; Chordata; Actinopteri; Siluriformes; Ictaluridae
Source: Ensembl